Hypanus sabinus (Atlantic stingray) is the source of this 1760-nucleotide long non-coding RNA. RefSeq lists it as uncharacterized. NCBI's taxonomy places the organism in Eukaryota, Metazoa, Chordata, Chondrichthyes, Myliobatiformes, Dasyatidae. The transcript is spliced from 3 exons. The record is from RefSeq and is a predicted model, not a curated record.
AGUUCCCUUUGAUGUUCCGCUGCGGGUGGGCUGCGUAAUUUACAAGUGAAACUGUCGAGUACUGGCACGUCAUUGGCAAGCCCAGGUGACCUGCCUUGUACACAGCAACAAAGAUACUGGAACUUGUAAACAGCCAUGUGGUUCUUGCAAAUCUGUGCUCUGUAAACCUGCCAAGGAUGUUUUGUAGAAAAAGGUCAAGUGUAAUAUUGAAUUUAUUUAGAGAUACAGCUUGGAGCAGGGGCCCUUCCAGCCCUUCGAAUCACAUCUCCCAGCCACCCAUCUAACCUGAGCCUCAUCACAGGACGAGUUACCAUCACCAAACAACCUACUAGCUGGUGUGUCUUUGGAGAGUGGGGGGAAAGCGGAACACCCGGAAGAAGCCCUCACACUUCACAGGGAGGGUGCCGGGACGGAACUCUGAACUCCCAACGCCUGGAGCUGGAAUAACGUUGUGUGAAUCGCCAAGCUGCCGUGGCGCUCCGGUAUGAAACAACAAGACGUUUAAUUAUUUACUUGUGAUGGGGUGCAGGCCAUUCCAGUCAUCAGGUCUGGGUGGCACCUCCCUCUCACAGAGCCCCGCAGCCCUGCACUGGCCUGGACAUGAUCCUGACUCAGCAGGUCAGGCAGCAUCUGUGGAGGGGAAUCUGCUUCAGACCCAGACCCUCCACCAGAUCUCGCUGUUGGCCUGAAACGUCCACUGUGGGAAUUCAAUGAAUCGGAAUUGUUUAAUUUCACUGGCAUGUGUCAUGAAAUUUGUUGACUUUAAGGCAGCAGUAUAAUACAAUACAUAAUAACAGAGAAACAAAACUGUGAAUGACACAAAACAAUGUGGAGCCCUUCAAACCGCAUGGCCCAGCACGCCCCAUUUAACCCUCGCCUCAUCACCGGACAAGUUACAACAAUCAAUUAACCUGCACACCUUGGAUUGUGCAAGGAAACCGGGUCAGCUGGAGAAAAUCCAUUCUUUCCACUGGGAGAAUGAAAAGACUCCUUACAGGAGACAUCAGGAUCGAACACCAGUCCUGAUGAAGGGUCUCAGCCUGAAAUGUUGACUGUUUACUCUGUCGGGCCUGCUGUGUUACGUGACUGUUACACUCCGAACUCUGACACCACGAGCUGGGAUGGCAUCGCACUACUACAAUACCGUGGCGGGCACGCUGGAGAAUCUCUACAGGACAGGCAGCAUCUAUGGAGGGGAGUAAACAGACCGUGACCCUUCAUCAAGAAAUUAAUUAUAUAAUCCCAGUCAGAUGUAGGAAUUAUUACUCCAGCAAAUGACGGGCAUAAUGCACUUUCAGGUCCAGAUCCCGCUGUGACUUUGAUAGACUUCCUCGCUGACUCACUGUCUCAAGAUGACACCGUCUGGGUGACGCUGUGGAGACGAGGACUCAUGACCUGCUUGUUGUACGGGAAAUGGUCGUGCUCAGGAAAACAAGAAUGAAGGGAAGAGAGGCUCAGAAGAGAAGUGGUGGUAGAAAAGUGUGUCAGGUCAGAGGUGACCCACUUACAACUAGCCCUGUGCCGAAUCUCACUGCUGACAUCAAUGCACCCACUCAGGGACAGAAUGAAUAUGUUUCCACCAUCGAGCGGCAGUGACUAAGCACGCUGAUGUUAUCUCAGGGAGCUGGCGGGUGCAGGCUGUCUGGUGGUCUCUCUGUCACUGAGAGCGGUGGUGAGGGGGAGUAAUUACAACAGGCCCAGCGCUGGUCUCCAACUCCCUGUGAAACAGAGAGGACCCCUCCACAGACCAUCAUCGCUCA